UCUUGGGGUAGGCUUUUCUACUCCUAGAGGCGACAAGCAACUCAGUGACUAUCUUGUAGGACCCAGAAUAGUCCCCUCCGCUGCCCCUGCCAUGCUAUGGACAAUACCUUCGGCCUUGGGCAUGCUAGGUAAGCACUCUAUCAUGAGAUGCUCAGCCCCAGAGUCUCUUGACUAGCAGCCCAGAAUUUAUUUCUGGAAGCCAAUAACUAUCCCUUUUCCACCAAAUGCAAUUCUGGGCUUUGACUUUAAACCCAAACUCAAACGAAACCAACAAAAACCCCAAACCAAAUGAACAAAAACCCCCAACCAACCAACCAACAACAACAACAAAAAACUAACUAGGCAUCUAUCUCUGCUACUAUGGUUGGGGUAACCAUAUCAAAACAAAAGAAUUAAAUGGAAAUUUAAUUUACAUUAUGAGGCAGAGAGUAAGGUGAAGAGGUCUAGGAAAACGGUGGGCAAAGGUUCAAAAUUACCAUAUGAAAGAAACUUGUUGGCAGAGAGGAAGGUUGGACACUUCUGGCUAUGUCACAGACACAGAAGCACUCCAUAGUGUCUGAAGGUGACCUCUCUCAGUAUAAAACACUAAGGUGAAGAGUUAAGAUGCUAAGGAGACAUGUGGUACAAGCCAUUGUAUAGAGAACUACAUGUGACAGAACACAUGUAGGAAAGCGUAUACAAAGAAAUGAGCCCUGAAGUCUGCUUUAUAUGACCUAUCCCCCCACCCCACAACUCUCUGUAGAUCCUUUGUGCAACAUUACUGUUUAACUAAACUUUUCCUUUGCUCUCGCCUGCUUCCUUCUCUUAAUAAACUGUCAUUGCUUCUGCUG
Molecule: long non-coding RNA, 830 nt
Filed under: Mus musculus (house mouse)
Lineage: Eukaryota; Metazoa; Chordata; Mammalia; Rodentia; Muridae
Description: long non-coding RNA chr11:109765416-109766246
Source: RNAcentral